Long non-coding RNA from Lynx canadensis (Canada lynx), 2413 nucleotides. RefSeq lists it as uncharacterized. The transcript has 3 exons. The record is from RefSeq and is a predicted model, not a curated record. NCBI's taxonomy places the organism in Eukaryota, Metazoa, Chordata, Mammalia, Carnivora, Felidae.
CCAUGGAGGCCUGGCUCCCUCGGCGCCCGGUCUGGUCCCCGGCACCGCGUGGACGGAGACCAGGACUCCGUUCUGUGUUCCGCAGCCGUUGAGCGGGCGUUUGCGUUGGAGCGCCUCCCCCAGGCAGCGAGUGUCGGGCCGGGCUGCCCUGCUAGCCCCCUGCUACGCCCCGAGGAUGGCACCAUCAGAGCCCUCCCACGGUGGAUCUUAGGGACGAGGGGGUGCUGCCAUUUGUAUCCUCAUUUUCCCAGUGAGAAUAGAGAGGUUCGGUAGGCGAGGAAGCAGCCAGCCAGACCCCGGCCGCUCACCCGCACACCUGCCUGGCAGGGAGAGGGAAAAGUAGCAGCCUGCCCCCGCUCACCCCAGCUUCUUCCAGAGGGCAGGACGGGUGGCCGGUGUGCCCACACGCUUGCAUCCGCCGGUGGUCGAGCUCCCAGCGGCUGCUGCCGCCAGUGCAGCAGCGGCUGAGGCCUGGGGGUGGGAGGAUUCCCUGGUCACCUGUGGGACUCAGAAGCCUGGGAAGAAGGAAGGAGCGCGGUUCAGCUCUUUGUUUGCUGUGACGUUGGCAGGGAGCAGCCACGCUGUCAGGGCCCCAGCGGGUGCGGGGAGAGUUUCAGUCCCUCUGACGUGGCCACUCUGCUAAGCUAACAUUUGCCUUGCAGAAUUGGAGAUCCUAACCUAUGUCAACACAGAGAAUAGGUGCUGGGACUCCCUGGAUCCACCCCACUGCCCCUGACCCACUUCCUGCAGUCACUUUGUCCCAACAAACCACUCCACAGAGACAUGGCACUGUCACCGCCCCCCCCCCACCAUGGGCACGCAGAGGCAAAGGUGCUGGGGUCCGUCCCCCCCCCCCCCUCCCGCUAAGCCUCUUGAGUGGAGGCCUUCCGGUUCUUGCCCAUGUGGGGCCCGGUGUGGAGGAGAGGGCUCUGGGCCCACCAUCGGUCGUGGAGGCUGGGGCUCUGAGUCACGGGCCCUCGGCCUCAAGGCCCAGCCUGCUACCUGAUGCCGUGUGCCUUCUGUCCGCUUCCUUGACCUCCCUGACCAUCACGUCCUCGGCAACCUGGAGUCCAGGCGGGGGAGCACCUGACAACUUGGGGGCCAAAAGGAGAUGCCGUUGAUGCUUACACCAGAGCAACAGGCACGAACCGCACUGUCCUGGGUGUAGGGCUCCCGGAGGCUGGAUACACAUGCCGCCACCCCCCUGAAGCCCCCCCAUGGGGGCUGGCGUCAGCUGCUCUUUCCGGAGGGCAAGGUUGUUAGUUCCUCAUCAUGACCGGAGCUGUAGUCACGCGACCCCGAGCACACAGGACACAGGGCUGCAGGCUUGCCAGGACGAUGGGCAGAGCCUAUGCCAGAGAACCCGGCUGUCCUUUCCAUCAUUGCAGCACCCUGUCACACUGCGUUUUCAGGAUCACGAGAGUCAGCCCCUCCCAGGAGCCUGCGUUGUCCGGGGAGGACUGGCACUGAGCGCCCGGAGGGGGCUGAGCUGAGCUGAGCUGGGACCUAAGUGCCUAUGAGAGGCCAGAUGCCAACAAGGUGCAACUCUGAAUCAUCCUUGAGACCCUGGAAAAGUGCUCCCCGUCCCCGCUCUCAAACAGGCAGUCGUGAAGGAGAACCGUCCUUGAGGAAGCGUCAGGAGGGCAGGUAGGGCAGCCCCUGUGGCGGGUUCAUGUGUUUGGGAUGCUGAAAAGCGCAAGCCUCGGAUCCCUGGGAGUGACACCCUGAGGAGGCACAGGGACCCAGGGCAGACGCCCCCGCCAGCUGAUGGCUACUGCUGGUGUUCGUGGCCCCCAGGACACACAUUCGGGCCCUGAGAGGUAUGACCUGGGACCCUGUAUUGCCUGCUAGGGCUGCCGUAGCAGAGCCCCGCAGACUGAGUGGCUUCGCAGAAAUGAACUCCCCCAUAGUUCUAGAGGCUGGAUGUCUGAGAUCCAGGUGCGGGCCGGGCUGGUCCUCUUGAGGUUCUCCCUCCUGGGCUCGCAGCCGGCCUUCUCCUCCUGUGUCCUCACCUGCUGGUCCCCAUGUGCGUGUCUGUGUCCUGAUCUCAUAAGGUCACCCUCAGAUCGGAUUGGAGUGCACUCUAACAAGCUCGUUUUACCUUAAUUACCUCUGUGAGGACCAUGUCUCUAAAUACAGCCACAUCCCGAGGUCCCGGGAGCUGCGGUUUCAACAUAUAAAUUGUGGGGGGUGGAGACACGCUACUGAGCCAUAACAGAUCUAAGUCAGGGCCUGUGCCCUCCCUGGGGGGGGGGGCCUUCUGAAGGUAGGGACUGGCGGAUCAGGCCGGCUCAGGUUGUACGGCCAGGAAUGAGGACCACGGGGUGGCGGGAGGGCCCGUUGGCGGUGGGGGCUCUGGAGCCAGGAGGGCGGGAGCGGGUUGAGCCCCAGGGAGAAAAUGGGUGGGAAUCUC